This 2457-nucleotide long non-coding RNA is filed under the name Capsicum annuum. Its description in RNAcentral is "long non-coding RNA (CANN_LNC019485)". The record is from RNAcentral. Lineage: Eukaryota; Viridiplantae; Streptophyta; Magnoliopsida; Solanales; Solanaceae.
AUGUAUGACAUUAGUAUGACGUCUGAUUUAUAAUACAAACUCAAAUAACUAACUUAUAUAUAAAUUAUGAGAAAAUUAGUGUAUAUGUUAUAUAGAGUACAAGAUGAGAUAACUAAUACAGUACUACCAAUUUCACGACCCAAAAAUUGAGGUAAUGAUGAAAUCUGCUUGAUCCAACCUUAGUAGGUAAGGCAAUCGUCUAAAAAAAGAAAGAAGAAUAAGAAAAUUAGCUAAACCAAGAAUAAAUGAUACUUGUAGAAUGAAGUCAGGUCAACACAUGAACAAGCUUAGCAUAAGUUUGAAAUAAAUACCAUAAAACUCCCAACAUCUGGUGUCAUAAGAGUAGAGCAUCUAAAUAUAACAUAGGAAACAUGAAAAAUACAAUACCUAUCUCUAAAAUCAAGUAAAGACAGUAAGAUAUGAUGAGAUCUAGAAUCCUCUCCAAAUUUCAUGGAGCACCAGUACCUCAAAGAUCUAACCAUUCCCGCAGGAACUCAACCGAAGAAUCACGUACUCGUACUAAGUUCAUCACCUAGAGUCACCGUAGGAGUGAGUAUGGUGUAGUUGUACUUAGUAGGUAUCAUAUACCUAUUGAGUAAAGUAGAAAAUAAUACAUAUAAAGAAAGUAUUAUGAGCACGUUAUCUAUAAAUAGAAAAGUACCAAAAUAGUAGCUCACAUCAUCUGCACUAACAAUUCUAAUAUAUAUGUGUAUAUAUAUAUAUACACACACACACACAAAAAAUCAAAUCAAAUAAGGUAUACAAAAAGGUACAUAGAAACUGAUUACACAUCUAGAAAACAUAUAAAUGAAACACAGAAGAUGAAUUUACAAAUGUAAUGCAAUGAAUGUUGAUGUAAAUAGUUUGAAAUACUUCACAUGAACUAAUGUAUGCACCUAUCGAGGAUAUAUUCUCCCAAACUAGGACGCACUAGGGGUUCGCAACCCAUAUACUAUCUCAAAGUAUCCACCCACCUCUCUGGCUUGUCUUUACAGAUCAUGGUCUUGAUGAAAGUAUCUCAUUUUUUUCAUAACAUGUUACUUAAUGGUAUUUGUAUAUCUUAAAUAUGUAUGCAUGGAAUAAGGAUAUAAUUCUCACCAUCAAAUCAACGUGAAGAUAAUAUAUCCAUUAAAUGUGUGUAUAAAUAAGCCUAGAAAUCUUCUAAAUAUGUCAACAUUUCAUGAUAUCAGUCCUAGUUUGUCACCAUCAAAAAACAACAUGUAAGACAUCAUUAAUAGCAUAUCAACCCAUAACUCGGGUAUUUCCAUUAUGAUAAAGGUAAACAAUGAUCAAUAAGGCCUAUAAUAACUAUUCAAGCUUCCGCACGAGCACCACCCUAAGAAUAAAGGAAUUUAAAUGCACAAAUAUGAUCAAUGAUGUGAAAGCCUCCACAAGGGCAACAUACAAUAUAUAAUAUCACAAUUCAUCAAUAGCAAGAAUACAAGCCCAUACACGAGCACACAACAGUAAUAUUAAAAUCAAAAUACAAUUUCCAUAGUUAUAUUCCCCAAACAGUAUCAUGCUCUACCUAGUUAUUCACUAUAUAGUGUAGUCUAAAGAAAUUUAAGUCAUAACCUACCUCAAAGAAUUAAAAUCCCAGCCUAAAGUCAUUCAAUAUGGAUCUUUUCUCUUUGAACAGUCUUAAAAUCAACUAAAACAUAUGAAUAUAACAUCUACGCAUUAAAAAAAAGGUAUUGAUAUCAAUCUUGGCCAUAUUAAAGUCAUGUCCUAAAUGAAUUUGAAAAAUAGGUUCGAAAACAAAGUAAUAAAAUGAAAAUUUUAUUUUAGAAACACACUCCACAAGGUUAUAGGAGUCUAUAGCUGAAAAGCCACACGAAAAUAAGGUCAGAAUAUAUGAAAAAUUAUUUUUAAGCUUUACUGGAAAAAUUUCAUAAAUUCAUUUCAAAAUCGAGAUUAAAAGGUGUUUUUGAAGACAUAAUCAAUAUUUAAAAGAUGAGUCUAGAGAUUACCCACACAAAAAUGAUGAAGAAAUCCUAGCAAAAUUGUCUUUCGUGAAGCUUGGAGGUCUAAAAACUGAGUAAAAUCCCAAUCGCAAUGGACAAUGUUGACUUGGCCAAAAUAUUAGCCUUCGUAUCCCCGAUAGCCUAUUGAAUUCAUAAAGAAGGGAUUCCCACCCCGGAUACCAAUUGUUAUUCGCAAUCAUGAAUCCCUCUUCGCGAUCGCAAUGAGAGAAAAUAUCAUUCUCCAUGUUUGUGGUCAGAGGUCCACAUUAUGAAGAAGGAAAUGGCCUACACCAUGUAUUAAUAAUUCAACUAAAAUGCAGGUUGAAAUAUUUAUGAAUUGAUCCUUGGGAUUCAUUUGGAACCCCAUGGAUACAAACCAUAUAUUCUACUAGGCCAUUUUCGACGUUCUAUACUCAAUGGUAAUGUCAAAUUUUCGGAAAAAAAGUCUUUUUCAACAAAUUAGCCUUUGGGACCCCUUCAAAGUAAAUUUCAC